CCAGAUUAAGCUCUCCUUUACUGUACACCAACUCUAAAAACAAACGUAAGCUAAUAAUAGGCGUCUAUGUCCUUAUGCUACAGCUUGUUGCGUGAGAUUACAGCCUCGAGCAUCUAAUGUGUGUAGUGGUGAUUUUAAGCACAAGAAAUGUCUUGGAAAUCAGGUCAUGCUCAUAUACUUUCAACAGAGAAGCAGUCCACCACAAGAGCUCGCAAUCAUCAUGCCCUCUUGUUCAAUUACUCCUCCUUUCACUGACUGCAAACAUACCAGUUUCUUAACAAAUCCUCCUCAUCAUCAACAUUAUCAUCAUCAUUACACUCUCAUGCCUACAACUUUUCUUGUCAUCCACCAACCACAAAAAUCAUCUUCACCAUUAUUACACUCGCCAAAAGUAUUUUAAACAAGAGAUAUAAAACCUAAUCAUCUCAUCACCUAUUCAAUCCAUCUAGUUUCGUUCGUCUCUCGGGGAAUCAAGCUCUCUCGGUCCGAUUGUUUGCUAGAUCAAGCAAUACUUUUAGUAGUUUUGUUAUUUUUUUUUUGAAAAUGCAAGCUUAUAUGUCUUACAAAUUAGUAUAUGUUCUAAUACUUUUCGAGUGAGCCAGAGUCGAACCCGGGUCUCCUGGGACAACAGAGGAUAAACCCACCACUUGGGCUAUCCAAUCGUGCUCAACAAUACUUUUAGUAGUUAGUUUCCAAGCUCUUGAAUUUUUUUAUUUUUUUCUUCUCUUGUUAGUUUAGAUAGUGUUCCUCGUCAGUUUAACUAGACUUAACUGUGUGUGUUCUUUCUUGUUUGAGUGGUUUGUUUUUGUAAUAUGGUCUUUUCGAUUGGUUCUUGUUCAUGUACUUGAAUGAUUGACAGAAGAAUUGCAUACUAUUUUUGAGUUUUACUCCCAUUUUCUAGAAACCACUUUUCUUUUUUGAGUUUCCAAAAAGAAUGAUUUUUCUAUUAAUGGUUUUCCUUAAAAUUAUUAAAACCACACGUUCAUAAGAUUAAGUGUGUGUUUGUUUACCACUUUAAAAGCCGG
This 1025-nucleotide long non-coding RNA is filed under the name Daucus carota (carrot). RNAcentral describes it as "long non-coding RNA (DCAR_LNC006782)". Lineage: Eukaryota; Viridiplantae; Streptophyta; Magnoliopsida; Apiales; Apiaceae. The record is from RNAcentral.